RNAcentral lists this long non-coding RNA (904 nucleotides) under Drosophila melanogaster (fruit fly). Its description in RNAcentral is "long non-coding RNA:CR43199 (Dmel_CR43199)". The record is from RNAcentral. Lineage: Eukaryota; Metazoa; Arthropoda; Insecta; Diptera; Drosophilidae.
AGUGUAGAUGAGGCUUUAGUGCCUUUCAAGUCAACACUUGAGUAACGGGAAACAAUUUUAAAUUCCUUUUUUUUUUUCUUCUGAAGCUCAUAUCUGGAUUAAGGACUCAAGACGAUGUGUAUUUGCUUCUAUGUAGUUAUCGGUCUGAUUAUCCUGCUCGUCAUAGUGGUUGCAUCUAUGAACUUAACCCGCAGAUGAGCCGAACCCUAGGAAUGGAGUUCAAGUUCGAAUAAUCCAGAUAGCCAGCAAGUUUUUGGUGUUUUAUUACUGUAAACAUUUGCAUACAAGACUGCUCUCCCCGCUCCACGCUGGUUACUAUAAUUAACUGAAUAUUUAUUACUGCGGUAGAUAAAAUGUUAUGCGGCUAUUAUUUUAGUUUUACGGCCAACCAAGAAGCCAACAAGCCAACAAGCCAACAGGCAAACUCGGCUAACUGAGCUUAAGCCUCAGACGGAACAUGAACAUGGCAGGCCACCAAAGUGGCGGCUCGUACAUGAAUAUGCAAUCCGAGCCAAAAUGCAGUCGGCGCCCCUUCGGUUUGGCCAACCACGUGGGCCACUCUACCUGAACCACCUUUUAGCCAUCAAGCCAAGCCACCUACACGGAUAAAUCCAGCCAAGAUACACCUAAACCAUUGAACAGUCGGCGCCAAUUAAGUCCACGAAAAGAUCGGAUGGAGGAUUUCAGAGAUGAUGUUUUUAGGAAAGGACAUACGAAUACAUAUGAAAUAAAAAAGUAAUUUCAUACUUAAGUAGAAGACUGGCGUUCUUAAAACUUGAUCAAGGGACUUGCAGUUGUUGAUUUUUCUUGUUAUACCCAUCCAAAAAUGCUUAUCUUUGUUAAAAUCUACAACUAAUAAUAUAAUAAACAAUAAAAGCUACAAUAUGGACAAGUUGGCAACACG